Cajanus cajan (pigeon pea) is the source of this 196-nucleotide small nuclear RNA. It matches the Rfam family "U2 spliceosomal RNA". Rfam says of the family: U2 is a small nuclear RNA (snRNA) component of the spliceosome (involved in pre-mRNA splicing). The record is from Rfam. NCBI's taxonomy places the organism in Eukaryota, Viridiplantae, Streptophyta, Magnoliopsida, Fabales, Fabaceae.
AUACCUUUCUCGGCCUUUUGGCUAAGAUCAAGUGUAGUAUCUGUUCUUAUCAGUUUAAUAUCUGAUAUGUGGACCAUCGGUUCAUACGAUAUUAAAUUAUUUUUUUGAAGGGGAGAGUCCAUUACAGUAGCUUGCUACUGGGUCUUUCGGGUGUCGCCCUUGUGUUGCACUACUGCUUGGGCCUGGCACACCCUCU